Molecule: ribosomal RNA, 346 nt
Filed under: uncultured bacterium
Lineage: Bacteria
Description: partial 16S ribosomal RNA
Rfam family: Bacterial small subunit ribosomal RNA
Source: RNAcentral
CCUACGGGAGGCAGCAGUGGGGGAUAUUGCACAAUGGGGGGAACCCUGAUGCAGCGACGCCGCGUGAGUGAAGAAGUACCUCGGGAUGUAAAGCUCUAUCAGCAGGGAAGAAAAUGACGGUACCUGACUAAGAAGACCCGGCUAAAUACGUGCACGCAGCCGCGGUAAGACGUAGGGGGCAAGCUUUAUACGGAUUUACUGGGUGUAAAGGGAGCGGAGGCGGCCUGCGAAGUCUGGUGUGAAAACACGGGGCCCAACCCCGGGCCUGCAUGGGAAACUGGCGGGCUGGAGUGUCGGAGGGGCAGGCGGAAUUCCUCGUGUAGCGGUGAUAUGCUUAGAUCUUUGG